Molecule: long non-coding RNA, 95 nt
Organism: Ipomoea nil (Japanese morning glory)
Lineage: Eukaryota; Viridiplantae; Streptophyta; Magnoliopsida; Solanales; Convolvulaceae
Exons: 3
Source: RefSeq, a predicted model, not a curated record
UGAAAAGAAGACUCUCCAUUCCCUGAAAUAUAACUCUGGACAACUUGUUGGGAGUCGGUCUCAAUGAUGAUGUUGCCAGCUGUAAUAUAUUUGAG